GCAUAUCAAUAAGCGGAGGAAAAGAAAAUAACAAUGAUUUCCCUAGUAACGGCGAGUGAAGAGGAAAGAGCUCAAAGUUGGAAACUGUUUGGCUUAGCUAAACCGUAUUGUAAACUGUAGAAACAUUUUCCUGGCACGCCGGAUUAAUAAGUCCUUUGGAACAAGGCAUCAUGGAGGGUGAGAAUCCCGUCUUUGAUCCGAGUAGUUGUCUUUUGUGAUAUGUUUUCAAAGAGUCAGGUUGUUUGGGAAUGCAGCCUAAAUUGGGUGGUAAAUCUCACCUAAAGCUAAAUAUUUGCGAGAGACCGAUAGCGAACAAGUACCGUGAGGGAAAGAUGAAAAGAACUUUGAAAAGAGAGUUAAACAGUAUGUGAAAUUGUUAAAAGGGAACCGUUUGGAGCCAGACUGGUUUGACUGUAAUCAACCUAGAAUUCGUUCUGGGUGCACUUGCAGUCUAUACCUGCCAACAACAGUUUGAUUUGGAGGAAAAAAUUAGUAGGAAUGUAGCCUCUCGAGGUGUUAUAGCCUACUAUCAUACUCUGGAUUGGACUGAGGAACGCAGCGAAUGCCUUUAGGCGAGAUUGCUGGGUGCUUUCGCUAAUAAAUGUUAGAAUUUCUGCUUCGGGUGGUGCUAAUGUUUAAAGGAGGAACACAUCUAGUAUAUUUUUUAUUCGCUUAGGUUGUUGGCUUAAUGACUCUAAAUGACCCGUCUUGAAACACGGACCAAGGAGUCCACCAUAAGUGCAAGUAUUUGAGUGACAAACUCAUAUGCGUAAGGAAACUGAUUGAUACGAAAUCUUUUGAUGGCAGUAUCACCCGGCGUUGACGUUUUAUACUGAACUGACCGAGGUAAAGCACUUAUGAUGGGACCCGAAAGAUGGUGAACUAUGCCUGAAUAGGGUGAAGCCAGAGGAAACUCUGGUGGAGGCUCGUAGCGAUUCUGACGUGCAAAUCGAUCGUCAAAUUUGGGUAUAGGGGCGAAAGACUAAUCGAACCAUCUAGUAGCUGGUUCCUGCCGA
This 1016-nucleotide ribosomal RNA is filed under the name Mucor circinelloides. Its description in RNAcentral is "partial large subunit ribosomal RNA". It matches the Rfam family "Eukaryotic large subunit ribosomal RNA", at positions 38 to 964 of the family's 3401-position model. Lineage: Eukaryota; Fungi; Mucoromycota; Mucoromycetes; Mucorales; Mucoraceae. The record is from RNAcentral.